UAGGGAAUCUUCCGCAAUGGGCGAAAGCCUGACGGAGCAACGCCGCGUGAGUGAUGAAGGUCUUCGGAUCGUAAAACUCUGUUAUUAGGGAAGAACAAAUGUGUAAGUAACUAUGCACGUCUUGACGGUACCUAAUCAGAAAGCCACGGCUAACUACGUGCCAGCAGCCGCGGUAAUACGUAGGUGGCAAGCGUUAUCCGGAAUUAUUGGGCGUAAAGCGCGCGUAGGCGGUUUUUUAAGUCUGAUGUGAAAGCCCACGGCUCAACCGUGGAGGGUCAUUGGAAACUGGAAAACUUGAGUGCAGAAGAGGAAAGUGGAAUUCCAUGUGUAGCGGUGAAAUGCGCAGAGAUAUGGAGGAACACCAGUGGCGACGGCGACUUUCUGGUCUGUAACUGACGCUGAUGUGCGAAAGCGUGGGGAUCAAACAGG
Molecule: ribosomal RNA, 429 nt
Filed under: Actinomycetes bacterium
Lineage: Bacteria; Bacillati; Actinomycetota; Actinomycetes
Description: Actinobacteria bacterium partial 16S ribosomal RNA
Rfam family: Bacterial small subunit ribosomal RNA
Source: RNAcentral